Topomyia yanbarensis is the source of this 419-nucleotide long non-coding RNA. RefSeq lists it as uncharacterized. NCBI's taxonomy places the organism in Eukaryota, Metazoa, Arthropoda, Insecta, Diptera, Culicidae. The transcript is spliced from 3 exons. The record is from RefSeq and is a predicted model, not a curated record.
GUGUAUUCUGUGCACCGUAUUUAUUUUUCUACAUACAUACUUCCCAACCCAGUUGCAACAUAGAGGACAGUUCGGGUCGUUGGUUCGGGGCUAGUGCUACAAUUAUAUACUGACGUAAAAGAUACUCUCUGGAACAAAUCGGAAAUGAUGAAACUUGUCUGACAAAUGAACCUGUAAGAUAUUGGAACAAAUCUCGACAAACAUAUGAUUACGGCCUAAAAGCCAACUGUCAAAAUCCACUUUGAAUGGAAAUUCCGGACAAACCGUUACACGCUAAUCACAGAUGUUGGUAGUAAAUGAAAGAGAAAAGUUUUCUCUUUCAUAAACUGUUGUCAACUGUGUUCGACUAGUAACGGUUUGUUUGGAAUUUCCAUUCAAAGUAGAUUUUGACAGUUGGCUUUUAGGCCGUAAUCAUAUGU